This 77-nucleotide ribosomal RNA is filed under the name Enterococcus faecium. RNAcentral also lists the same sequence under 3 other names. The record is from RNAcentral. Lineage: Bacteria; Bacillati; Bacillota; Bacilli; Lactobacillales; Enterococcaceae.
CCGAACACAGAAGUUAAGCUUCUUAGCGCCGAUUGUAGUGAGGGGUUGCCCCUUGUGAGAGUAGGACGUCGCCACGC